ACAGACGAUGGACCCAGGGUAAUCCUGAGUGGCAGCAGAGAGUCUGAUUACCUGCAAUCAUACAGCUAAUCAGUUCAGACAGAGCAAGCGCAUGCAAUGGUUGCAACAAGUUCAUGAAAGCGGUGUGAAGUUAGUUAUUUUUACUAAUCAAGAUCGGAAGGAGUAUUUUCACAACUAAUCAUAAGAACAAAGCUUCAUUUCCCACUGCGGUGAUAUUUAUGAAUACAACUUGAGAAUGUAAAGCUCCCACCUCAAGAAAAAACUCAUGUUAUCUUUAGAUAAGGUGUUAGUUUUACCCACACAGAUGAAUACACCAAAAAACGUUAUGUAUAUUGCACACUCUUCAAUCCUUUUAUAUAUAUGGGAGUUAGGAGAUUACAUUGUUCAAUAACCUUGUAUGAAAUACAUAGUCAUUGGAUUGCA
Long non-coding RNA from Medicago truncatula (barrel medic), 423 nucleotides. RefSeq lists it as uncharacterized. The transcript is spliced from 2 exons. The record is from RefSeq and is a predicted model, not a curated record. NCBI's taxonomy places the organism in Eukaryota, Viridiplantae, Streptophyta, Magnoliopsida, Fabales, Fabaceae.